UGGGGAAUCUUGGACAAUGGGGGCAACCCUGAUCCAGCGACGCCGCGUGGGUGAAGAAGGCCUUAGGGUUGUAAACCCCUUUCGCCGGGGAAGAUGAUGACGGUACCCGGAGAAGAAGCACCGGCUAACUCCGUGCCAGCAGCCGCGGUAAGACGGAGGGUGCUAGCGUUGUCCGGACUCACAGGGCGUAAAGCGCACGCAGGUGGUAGCGCAAGUGGGGUGUGAAAGCCGCCAGCUCAACUGGCGGAGGCCAUCCCAAACUGCGUCACUUGAGGCCUGUAGAGGUAUGUGGAAUUGCCGGUGUAGUGGUGAAAUGCGUAGAGAUCGGCAGGAACACCCAGGGGGAAACCAGCAUACUGGACAGGACCUGACACUCAGGUGCGACAGCGUGGGGAGCGAACCGGAUUAGAUACCCCCGUAGUCC
RNAcentral lists this ribosomal RNA (424 nucleotides) under uncultured prokaryote. RNAcentral's name for it is "bacterial SSU rRNA". It matches the Rfam family "Bacterial small subunit ribosomal RNA", at positions 355 to 796 of the family's 1533-position model. The record is from RNAcentral.